UGGGGAAUAUUGCACAAUGGGCGAAAGCCUGAUGCAGCAACGCCGCGUGAGUGAUGAAGGCCUUCGGGUUGUAAAGCUCUGUCUUUUGGGACGAUAAUGACGGUACCAAAGGAGGAAGCCACGGCUAACUACGUGCCAGCAGCCGCGGUAAUACGUAGGUGGCAAGCGUUGUCCGGAUUUACUGGGCGUAAAGGAUGCGUAGGCGGAUUUUUAAGUGAGAUGUGAAAACCCUAAGCUUAACUUGGGGACUGCAUUUCAUACUGGAAAUCUAGAGUGCGGGAGAGGAGAAUGGAAUUCCUAGUGUAGCGGUGAAAUGCGUAGAGAUUAGGAAGAACACCAGUGGCGAAGGCGAUUCUCUGGACCGUAACUGACGCUGAGGCAUGAAAGCGUGGGUAGCAAACAGGAUUAGAUACCCUGGUAGUCCACGCCGUAAACGAUGAGUACUAGGUGUAGGAGGUAUCGACCCCUUCUGUGCCGCAGUUAACACAAUAAGUACUCCGCCUGGAAGUACGAUCGCAAGAUUAAAACUCAAAUGAAUUGACGGGGUCAUAGCUGUUUUCCU
Molecule: ribosomal RNA, 562 nt
Filed under: uncultured bacterium
Lineage: Bacteria
Description: partial 16S ribosomal RNA
Rfam family: Bacterial small subunit ribosomal RNA
Source: RNAcentral